This 385-nucleotide ribosomal RNA is filed under the name Spharagemon campestris. RNAcentral describes it as "partial 16S ribosomal RNA". The record is from RNAcentral. Lineage: Eukaryota; Metazoa; Arthropoda; Insecta; Orthoptera; Acrididae.
UCUUAAUCCAACAUCGAGGUCGCAACCCAUUUCGUCGAUAUGAACUCUCAAAAAUGAUUACGCUGUUAUCCCUAAGGUAACUUAAUCUUAUGAUCAUAAAUUAUGGAUCAAAUAAACAUAAAUUAAUGAAUUUAUAAUGAAGAGUUUAAUUAUUCUUCAAGUCACCCCAACUAAACACUAUAAAAAUUUUAUUUUAAAAUAAACCAAAAUAAUAUAAAAAUAAAAAUGUCAAGCUCUAUAGGGUCUUCUCGUCCUAAAGAAAUAUUUGAGCCUUUUAACUCAAAAGUUAAAUUCUAAAAUUUAUUAAGAGACAGUUAAUUUCUCGUUAAACCAUUCAUUCAAGCCCCCAAUUAAGAGACUAAUGAUUAUGCUACCUUUGCACGGU